This 116-nucleotide ribosomal RNA is filed under the name Candidatus Peribacteria bacterium RIFCSPHIGHO2_01_FULL_54_22. RNAcentral also lists the same sequence under 2 other names. The record is from RNAcentral. Lineage: Bacteria; Candidatus Peregrinibacteriota; Candidatus Peribacteria.
CCUGGUGUCCUGAGCGACGGGGACACACCUGAUCCCAUUCCGAACUCAGCAGUUAAGCCCGUCAGCGUCGAUGGUAGUGAGGGUCUAACCCUCGCAAGAGUAGACCGAUGCCAGGA